RNAcentral lists this long non-coding RNA (518 nucleotides) under Vulpes vulpes (red fox). RNAcentral describes it as "lncRNA (ENSVVUG00000022961.1)". The record is from RNAcentral. Lineage: Eukaryota; Metazoa; Chordata; Mammalia; Carnivora; Canidae.
CAGAAACUAUUGUAGGAAUUUAUUAAUGAAUUCUCAAGUAUGCCCAACGAUGUGACCAAAUUACUUCGUGAUAUCCAAGUAGACUUAGAAUAUCUACAGAGAAAGAAAAAAAUGCAAGAAAGGGAAAAAAGGGAAAGAAGAAAGAGAAAGAAAGAAAGAAAGAAAGAAAGAAAGAAAGAAAGAAAGAAAGAAAGAAGAAAGAAAGAAAGAAAGAAAGAAAGAAGAAAGAAAGAAAAAAAAAGAAAAAGAAAGAAAGAAGAAAGAAAGAAAGAAAGAAAGAAAGAAGAAAGAAAGAAAAAGGAAGAAAGAAAGAAAGAAAGAAAAAGAAAGAAAGAAAGAAGAAAAAGAAAGACACUCUAAUCAACCCUCUGCUCAUUAAAGGUCUGAAGUUCCUGCCAAGUCUCCUUCAUGUACUACAUUCUUUAAUGCCAAAUGCUUAAGUGGUUGGUUUUCCCCACUGUUCUCUACUGCAUCCUGAUACCCUCAGCUGAGUAAUAUUCCAAGUAAGUGUGCAAUUA